UGGGGAAUUUUGGACAAUGGGCGAAAGCCUGAUCCAGCAAUGCCGCGUGUGUGAAGAAGGCCUUCGGGUUGUAAAGCACUUUUGUCCGGAAAGAAAUCCUUGGCUCUAAUACAGUCGGGGGAUGACGGCNCCGGAAGAAUAAGCACCGGCUAACUACGUGCCAGCAGCCGCGGUAAUACGUAGGGUGCAAGCGUUAAUCGGAAUUACUGGGCGUAAAGCGUGCGCAGGCGGUUUGCUAAGACCGAUGUGAAAUCCCCGGGCUCAGCCUGGGAACUGCAUUGGUGACUGGCAGGCUAGAGUAUGGCAGAGGGGGGUAGAAUUCCACGUGUAGCAGUGAAAUGCGUAGAGAUGUGGAGGAAUACCGAUGGCGAAGGCAGCCCCCUGGGCCAAUACUGACGCUCAUGCACGAAAGCGUGGGGAGCAAACAGGAUUAGAUACCCUGGUAGUCCAGCGCCCUAAACGAUGUCAACUAGUUGUUGGGGAUUCAUUUCCUUAGUAACGUAGCUAACGCGUGAAGUUGACCGCCUGGGGAGUACGGUCGCAAGAUU
RNAcentral lists this ribosomal RNA (548 nucleotides) under uncultured bacterium. RNAcentral describes it as "partial 16S ribosomal RNA". It matches the Rfam family "Bacterial small subunit ribosomal RNA", at positions 355 to 895 of the family's 1533-position model. The record is from RNAcentral.